Molecule: ribosomal RNA, 116 nt
Filed under: Chrysemys picta bellii (western painted turtle)
Lineage: Eukaryota; Metazoa; Chordata; Testudines; Emydidae
Source: RNAcentral
AUUUACAAUACUACCACAUUGGUUGUAAUCUUAUCUGAUCUCAUAAAAUAAGCUAAGCUGGGCCUCAUUGGUACUUGGAUGGCAAUCCUCCAAGGAACACCUAGGUGCUGUAAGUA